AGGCUAUCCAUUAUCACAAACACUGUUAGUUCCAUCUUCCUUAGUAAGAAGGUAUAGCUGGUAUUCAAGGCAGCAACGUGCCCACAAGGAAUAGUGGUAUGACCCAGUUCUGGCCAUGAAGUAAUCAGAAGCCUACUACUGAGGAUCCAGGAAAAUGGUUUGUUUCCUAGUGAAAAGACAGUUUCAGCUGUCUUCUGACCA
Molecule: long non-coding RNA, 201 nt
Filed under: Homo sapiens (human)
Lineage: Eukaryota; Metazoa; Chordata; Mammalia; Primates; Hominidae
Description: HSALNT0193915
Source: RNAcentral